CGGCCGUCACGGGCCGGCAGCGUGACGCCGCGCGCCGGCUGGCUGGACCUUGUUGCGCGUGUGUGAGUGUGUGACAGUGUCUGUGCAGCAUGGUGCCGGCCACAGGAUAACAAGGCCACACACCGCCCGCCAUCACAAAGGUGUGUUGCAGUCUCGCAAACAACAGAAAAAUCGCCACUCGCAUUGAAGAUCGGAGCCACUGCCUCGGACCCCAGGGCACCCCAGGGCACCCCCGGGCACCCCAGGGCAGCCCACGGCGCCGCAGGGGCCCGGCCCGGACGACCGCCACGUCCGCGACGACGCGGCCAGCAGCCCAUCAUGCGGGCCUCGUGCCGUCUCUGAGGCUGGCGAUGCAGCCCGAGGCCCCCAUGGCGGUGACCGAGGCCCUGUCGGCGCUGGGGUUCAGGGGUCGUGCCGUGGCUGGGACUCGAGGGACCCGAGGGACGCGGAGAGCAGGCGGCGGGGCCGUCGCCGCCAAGGCCCUGCAGGCCGCGCAGGCCGGCCACAGGAAGCUAGUACGAGGAGUGCGAGGAGUCCGAGGAGUCCAGGGCAGCUGCAGGCACAGGCGGCCCGGGCCUCUCGCCGUCGGCACCACGCCGUCAUAGCGACCAAGCUUAGUUUAGUGUUCCGUCGCCCUCGAGCGACGAGCUGAUUCAACGCUUGUACCAGUUCCGAGAAAGCCUUCGCAGUGGCGGGGACCACGAUGAACCUGCUCAACAUGGACGCGGAGAACCGCGUGGUUCUCAACUGCGGCGGCAUCCGACACGAGACGUACAAGGCUACGCUCAAGAAGAUCCCCGCGACGCGUCUCUCGCGCCUCACCGAGGCGCUGGCCAACUACGACCCCAUCCUCAACGAGUACUUCUUCGACCGCCACCCGGGCGUCUUCGCCCAAGUGCUCAACUACUACCGGACGGGCAAGCUGCACUACCCCACGGACGUGUGCGGUCCGCUGUUCGAAGAGGAGCUCGAGUUUUGGGGUCUGGACGCCAACCAGGUGGAGCCGUGCUGCUGGAUGACAUACACGCAGCAUCGAGACACGCAGGAGACCUUGGCCGUGCUGGACCGCCUGGACCUGGACACAGAGAAGCCGUCGGACGAGGAGAUGGCGCGGAAGUUCGGCUUCGAGGAGGACUACUUCCGGGGCACCGUGUCCUGGUGGCAGCGGUCCAAGCCCAAGCUGUGGUCCCUCUUCGACGAGCCCUACUCAUCCAACGCCGCCAAGAUCGUGGGCGUGGCGUCCGUCUUCUUCAUCUGCGUGUCCAUCCUGUCCUUCUGCCUCAAGACGCACCCGGACAUGAGGGUGCCGGUGAUCCGCAACAUCACCGUCAAGACGGCGGCCAACAUGACGGCGUGGACGCUGGACAAGACGCAGACCAACGCGCACGAGGCCUUCUUCUACAUCGAGUGCGUGUGCAACGCGUGGUUCACCGUGGAGAUCGUCUCCAGGUUCACCGCGUCGCCCAACAAGUGCGACUUCAUCAAGGCCUCGGUCAACAUCAUCGACUACAUCGCCACGCUCAGCUUCUACAUCGAUUUGGUGCUGCAGAAGUUCGCGUCGCACCUGGAGAACGCCGACAUCCUCGAGUUCUUCUCCAUCAUCCGCAUCAUGCGACUGUUCAAGCUGACGCGGCACUCGUCGGGCCUCAAGAUCCUCAUCCAGACGUUCCGGGCGUCGGCCAAGGAGCUCACGCUGCUCGUCUUCUUCCUGGUGCUGGGUAUCGUCAUCUUCGCCAGCCUGGUGUACUACGCGGAGCGCAUCCAGGCCAACCCCCACAACGACUUCAACAGCAUCCCGCUGGGCCUGUGGUGGGCGCUGGUCACCAUGACCACGGUGGGGUACGGGGACAUGGCGCCCAAGACGUACGUCGGCAUGUUCGUGGGCGCGCUGUGCGCGCUGGCCGGUGUGCUGACCAUCGCCCUGCCCGUCCCCGUCAUCGUCUCCAACUUCGCCAUGUACUACUCCCACACGCAGGCGCGCGCCAAGCUGCCUAAGAAGAGGAGACGGGUGCUGCCGGUGGAGCCGACGCGACCGCUGGUGCGGAUACCUGGACAGCCCGGGCAGCCCGGGCAGCCAGGGUGCCCGGCUGGAGGCGGCGGUCCCGGCGGCGGCGGUCCGGGCUGCAGAGCCGGCAUGGACCCUGGCGGGGGGCCGCCCGUGCAGAACAGGCGGAUGAACGCCAUCAAGAGCAACCACCCGAAGGACGCCAUGGGUGGCAUGAUGGACCCCUACGCGGCCGAGGAGCAUGUGCCCAUGUUGGACUUGUCGCAAGUGAACCACAAACUACGGGGACGGCUUUGAGGAAAUGACAUUGUGCGCGGCGCUGCAACGCGGCGGGCGCUCUAGAGGAUGGCUGCGACGUGUGACGAGGCCGUGACGAGGCUGUGACUAGGCCGGGACGAGGCCGUCACAGCGGCGUCACGUUGCGUGGUGCCUAGCGGACCAAGACCCGUCGUCAGGGCCUCGGCCGCAGAGCUACGCAGAGCUACGCAGAGCGGGCCGGCCAGGACCGGAAGCAGGACCGGAAGUGCUUCGGGCUGCCGGCCUCGGACUCACUGUUUACUUGGUGCAUGCGUGCAAGCCGCCACGCCCAAGUGUGUGUGCGUCUGUGGCGGUUAGCAAGACGGACACUUCAGUCGCUUUGCAGUCGUUUCACAACAAACAGAUCCUAGUGGCAAUUUCUUUGUGAUAUUGGGAGAAGACGCAAGAGGAGAAAACGAACAGCAGUGCUCGGUGUUGUUUUUCCCUUUUUUCUCUUUGUAGGACAGUAGACAGUGACACAUAUCAUCUCGACGAGACGUGUGCAGUGUCAUAUUUCUAUAUCGACAGUCUUCUUUGAGGCGGCCAGCAAAUGGCUGCCCGAUGUGCAGCCUAGCAUAGUCACUGAAGACACAAGUCUUGAGGCAUAAGUCCGAUAAAUUCUAAAUUUAUUUUAUUGUGAAGCGUUUACGUUCAUGAACAAAGUAUUGUUAUUAGACAAAUAAUGCUGGCUAUAAAUUCCGACAGGCAAGGACAAAAAGCAUGUAAGCAGGAUAUAGGCUAUUUAAUUUAUAUUUUUUUUUCAUUCAAAAGGUAUACUGUCUUUGUCACUUUUAUCCUUAUGUAACACUAUUGAUCACACUGUUAAACACCAUCAUGAUUUUUGUGAGGUUGGCUCUGAGUAACUGAAAAUAACAAGUAAAUUAUCGACUGUAUGGCCGCAAUUUUACAGUAACAUUAACAGUAUUUCAGCGCUUCAUAAUAUAACAAAGGUCGUUUUGAAGAUUUAUUUUUCGCUUGUCCACAGAGCCUUGACUCAGUGACUCGGAGCCAACCACGCCACGGUCAUCACAUUUUUCACCUUCUAUCACAUUAGCCUAUUAAACACGCUUUAUAUCAAAAUGAUAUAUCUCUUUUAAUAACGAUAAUGGUUAAGGGGACUCAUCUGUGUAGCAUGAUAUUUUUGUUAUUUUUUGUUGUUAUCAGCAUUCUAUCACUCAUUUCUUUCAAACAAUCUGUAACGACGCCAACAGUCAAUGGUUGUCUAAUGAAUGUACAUUCAGGCUUUGGAAGUACAUUGCCAACAAGAUGCAAUAGCCUAAUUGUAUUGUCUUGGAUUAUCAGUCAUUUUACGUAUCAGUGUACCGCCGCAAAUAAACAGUCUUCCAUAUAGUCUCGAGAUGAUGCCGAUGAAUGAAGAUCGGAAGGGAUACAACUCAUCAGAACAACUAAAUUUAAGUAUUUCUCUAGUCACAUAUUUUGUUCCUCUACGUAAUUGUACCGGCGAAUGCUCCAGCUCAGAAUGGAAUAAACUGCAAAGUUGCGAAUGCCACAUUAAUAAUUUCUCUUUUUGCCACAAUGUAUACAAUGUGAAGGGGGAGUCAAGGUGGAUCAUUUUAAAGUGGAGUGCCAUUGCUCAAAUCGCAUAAUAAUUGUGCAUGUAGUCUCUAAAUUCUAAUUUGAUCAUAAUUAUCUUUGUACGUUCUUUGGCGCGUGCUUCUUCCGUUUGUUUCCGAUUGCCACCUCGUUUCAAACUUCUAGCGCGUAUUUUGUAAGUGUAAUCCAAACCGGCCGCGGAAACGGCUGCGAACGGAACAAAUUUGAUGCCGUACAUCUCCCGAUUUCUUGAUUUCGUUUGACAAGACUUAUAUCCAUUCUGUUAUACUUCUACUAGCGUGGGCGUUGAUAUUCAACGUCCAUGUGUGUCUUAUUCUUCUGAAAAAUGUUGUCUCAGUAGAUUGCGAGCUAUCAUUGAGGCUAGUCGAGAACCUCAUAGCGUCUCACAUUUCGUACUUUUUCUAUUAAGCUUUAUCGAAGUGAAUGAGCAUGUUUCUGAGCAGUUUGUAGAGAUCGUACUGUCUCGACCAACACAAAUACAACGUUCAUGAUAUUGAAUAAACUGUCUAGGCUUGUUAAAUUGCGACACAGUAUGUGUAAGACAUAUUUGUGCUUAGAUAAGUUCUGAUGGGACUGCUGACCAAAUCAUUGCGCGCUAGGCGUGGCUAUGCACUGUGGUUGUGUAAAAAAAUACCACCGAGAGAAGCAAUGUUUCACACAUUGUCCCCCAGGAUAUUUUUUCUGCCUUGUUAUCGUAUUUGUAAAUUUUUACAGAUCAAAAUUAUAGACUACGCUGAAUUGUAUUUGUAACCUUUAUUUGGUUUGAAGGGCUGGAUAGUUCAUAUCCCUUUAAAAUUAUCGGGCUAUUAAUUGAAAUACGCGGACAAAAUUGUUACUGCUCAUCUGAUUUUAUCGCUGUUUUAACAUAUUUUCUAACUUUCAUUGUGACUUCCUCAGUGCAUGCUGGUAUUCUCUUAUACCUCUACAUGAAGAAGGACAGGUAGGGAAAGCUAACGUAGGCAUAGGUCUCGAACAGGACUACCGGCGAACGGCCAUUGUAAUGAGUUAUAGAAAGCAAAAGAAUAUCUGUCUCCUGAAAAUUCCCCCAACACCUGAGUACAAACCAGAGCUACUGUUCCACUGUUCCACUGUUUGUUCUUGAUGAUGGCGGGUGAAGGCGGUGCAGGCCUAGACGGGUCUGGGCGGUCUGACGAAUUUGGCACUCCUAGUCCCGAGCGCCUGCGGAGAAGAGGGCAGGCCGCGCCGCGCCGCGAGACUGCGUGGCGGGACUGUCUACCCUCUGUUCCGCGGGCGCUCGAGACGCCAUGGCGACGAAAGAAAUUAAAAGGCCACGCCCGGGGCUCUCCGUCCAGGUCCGAUGUUCGGGUCCAUUCCAGUGUAUGGUGCGACGUACCACAGUGCACUCCAGAUGCAUCCCUCAACUUUGGAGGGUGGAUUUGGAGUCGCUUCGGCAUCAGAACAAACUGCUGCAACCCGUCUUCAUUCUUUCCAUUACGACUUUCUUUUGUUACAUUCGUUCACAUUUUACGUAUCGUUGUUUGACUUUCGGUUUCAUAAGAAGCAUUCUGUAAAUAUUGUAAGCACUAUGAAAUAUCAUCUAAAGACAAGUA
Molecule: unclassified non-coding RNA, 5448 nt
Filed under: Thrips palmi
Lineage: Eukaryota; Metazoa; Arthropoda; Insecta; Thysanoptera; Thripidae
Description: potassium voltage-gated channel protein Shaw, transcript variant X2
Rfam family: Potassium channel RNA editing signal (bases 1835-1948)
Source: RNAcentral